GGGCCGCUAGCUCAAUGGGUAGAGCAGUCGAUCUGUCCAGCACCUCCGCUCACCGCGCACGCGGGCAUGGGGGCGCUUCCUUCUACUCCUUAAUCGACGGGUUCGGGGUUCGAGUCCCCGGCGGUCCC
Molecule: transfer RNA, 128 nt
Filed under: Actinomycetota bacterium
Lineage: Bacteria; Bacillati; Actinomycetota
Description: tRNA-OTHER
Source: RNAcentral